RNAcentral lists this small RNA (259 nucleotides) under Vigna angularis var. angularis. RNAcentral's name for it is "Non-protein coding transcript". The record is from RNAcentral. Lineage: Eukaryota; Viridiplantae; Streptophyta; Magnoliopsida; Fabales; Fabaceae.
AAUGAAAGGAAAAUUGAAUUUCCCAAAUAUAAGCAAUAAUUACAUGUUCUCUAUACAGAUGACUGUAAAGAGAAGCGUGUGUGCUGAUGAUCCAAAGGAAUCAGCAUUAGAAGAAACUCAAGAUUACCUUUAUCAAACUUUCAAUGCUGUGGGAGCUGCGGUUGAAGCUGAAAUUGAAGCAUGAGCACACCCGAAACCAGUUCCAGGCUGUUGGAAGAAGUCUAUGCAUCAAAUGAAGACACUGGAAAGCAAGGAAAGC